Molecule: ribosomal RNA, 700 nt
Filed under: uncultured Actinomycetes bacterium
Lineage: Bacteria; Bacillati; Actinomycetota; Actinomycetes
Description: bacterial SSU rRNA
Rfam family: Bacterial small subunit ribosomal RNA
Source: RNAcentral
AGUGGCGAACGGGUGAGUAACACGUGAGCAAUCUGCCCUUGACUCUGGGAUAACUGCGGGAAACUGUAGCUAAUACCGGAUACUUUCCUUGGUGGGCAUCCACUGGGGAAGAAAGAAUUUCGGUCAAGGAUGAGCUCGCGGCCUAUCAGCUAGUUGGUGAGGUAAAUGCUCACCAAGGCGACGACGGGUAGCCGGCCUGAGAGGGUGACCGGCCACACUGGAACUGAGACACGGUCCAGACUCCUACGGGAGGCAGCAGUGGGGAAUAUUGCACAAUGGGCGAAAGCCUGAUGCAGCAACGCCGCGUGAGGGACGAAGGCCUUCGGGUUGUAAACCUCUUUUAGCAGGGAAGAAGCGAAAGUGACGGUACCUGCAGAAAAAGCACCGGCUAACUACGUGCCAGCAGCCGCGGUAAUACGUAGGGUGCAAGCGUUGUCCGGAAUUAUUGGGCGUAAAGAGCUCGUAGGCGGUUUGUCACGUCUGCUGUGAAAUUUCGAGGCUCAACCUCGAACUUGCAGUGGGUACGGGCAGGCUAGUGUGCGGUAGGGGAGAUGGGAAUUCCUGGUGUAGCGGUGGAAUGCGCAGAUAUCAGGAGGAACACCAAUGGCGAAGGCACAUCUCUGGGCCGUAACUGACGCUGAGGAGCGAAAGCGUGGGGAGCGAACAGGAUUAGAUACCCUGGUAGUCCACGCCGUAAACG